Molecule: long non-coding RNA, 411 nt
Organism: Megachile rotundata (alfalfa leafcutting bee)
Lineage: Eukaryota; Metazoa; Arthropoda; Insecta; Hymenoptera; Megachilidae
Source: RefSeq, a predicted model, not a curated record
ACAUAGUCCUAGAUACUUUACAGACGCGUUAAAAUAUUUACCAUAUACUGAUCUGGGAUCUUGAACGUAACAUCAUGUGGUGGUGCAUUAUAACCCGAAGGGAGGUCGACUUUUACCUACACUGUACUACCUGGCCUUUGCCUACCUACCUGUAAAACUAUAGUUUCUUUACGAAAUAUUUACGAAGAAACGAAUACGAUUCUUUGACCCCUUGUUGUGCGAGCGCUAUUUAAUUUUACAGCAAUUUCAUACAUGCAAUUAUUGUAGGAAUAUAUUUUAGAUUUUUUCCAUGGAAUUACUUUGUAUGAAGUUUCCAUAAUAUUAUAGUAUUAUGAAUAUGUGUAUAAGGAUUCAAGAGUGAAAAUAACAUUUGGAACAUGUAUUUCGUCAAUAAAAUUUAUGAUUUCUUUA